GCGGAAGUGGGUUGCUGUUGAGGCGGCGGCAUCUUUCUCGAGGAGCUCUCCUGGGCGGCUGAAGAAGGAGCUUCUUCUCCGGAGUGCGCCGGCGGCGGCGCCUGCGGACCUAACUAGCUCCAGGUUAGGCCGGGCUUUGCGGGAAAGCAGCGGACUUGAAAAUACUGGAAAUCUGUCCGGAUCCAAAUUAUUUUGCAAGCCAGAUGAGUAACCAGAGGGCAUGAAAGGUUGAGAACAUUUGACUUCCCUGCAAACCUUGGUAUAGAUCACUUCCUUUUCUGUAGGAAAGGAAAGGCACCAAAGAGCACAAUGAGUACAGUAAGUUUUAUCAUCUCUUAAAUUUUUAAUUUUGUAGGGCUAAUUAACUACCUUAUUCCUUGUAGCACAUUAGUGAAAGUGAGUUCCAUAAUGUCACUUCUAAGUAACCCCACUUCUUGAAGGAAUAUGUAUAGGAGCUUUCUGGUGGUUACAUCAGCUUACUUACCGACAUUGAGCUACAUUCUAGUCAUAAAGGGCAGUGCCCUGAAGACAAAAGGCUGAGAAGGAAUAGCUUAGGGUUUGGUAAUCUCAGACCUUCACAACAGUUGUCAGUGUCAUAGAAAUACUAAAACUUU
RNAcentral lists this small RNA (614 nucleotides) under Pan troglodytes (chimpanzee). RNAcentral's name for it is "retained intron". The record is from RNAcentral. Lineage: Eukaryota; Metazoa; Chordata; Mammalia; Primates; Hominidae.